Molecule: ribosomal RNA, 1440 nt
Filed under: uncultured organism
Description: 16S ribosomal RNA
Rfam family: Bacterial small subunit ribosomal RNA
Source: RNAcentral
CAGGCUUAACACAUGCAAGUCGAGGGGCAGCAUGGUCUUAGCUUGCUAAGGCCGAUGGCGACCGGCGCACGGGUGAGUAACGCGUAUCCAACCUGCCUUACACUCUUGGACAGCCUUCUGAAAGGGAGAUUAAUACAAGAUGUUAUCAUGAGUAAGCAUUUUCGCAUGAUUAAAGGUUUACCGGUGUAAGAUGGGGAUGCGUUCCAUUAGAUAGUAGGCGGGGUAACGGCCCACCUAGUCUUCGAUGGAUAGGGGUUCUGAGAGGAAGGUCCCCCACAUUGGAACUGAGACACGGUCCAAACUCCUACGGGAGGCAGCAGUGAGGAAUAUUGGUCAAUGGACGAGAGUCUGAACCAGCCAAGUAGCGUGAAGGAUGAAGGUUCUAUGGAUUGUAAACUUCUUUUAUACGGGAAUAAACGGAUCCACGUGUGGAUUUUUGCAUGUACCGUAUGAAUAAGGAUCGGCUAACUCCGUGCCAGCAGCCGCGGUAAUACGGAGGAUCCGAGCGUUAUCCGGAUUUAUUGGGUUUAAAGGGAGCGUAGAUGGGUUGUUAAGUCAGUUGUGAAAGUUUGCGGCUCAACCGUAAAAUUGCAAUUGAUACUGGCAGUCUUGAGUACAGUUGAGGUAGGCGGAAUUCGUGGUGUAGCGGUGAAAUGCUUAGAUAUCACGAAGAACUCCGAUUGCGAAGGCAGCUUACUAACCUGUAACUGACAUUGAUGCUCGAAAGUGUGGGUAUCAAACAGGAUUAGAUACCCUGGUAGUCCACACGGUAAACGAUGAAUACUCGCUGUAGGCGAUAUACAGUCUGCGGCCAAGCGAAAGCAUUAAGUAUUCCACCUGGGGAGUACGCCGGCAACGGUGAAACUCAAAGGAAUUGACGGGGGCCCGCACAAGCGGAGGAACAUGUGGUUUAAUUCGAUGAUACGCGAGGAACCUUACCCGGGCUUAAAUUGCAACCGAAUAUGGCGGAAACGCUAUAGCUAGCAAUAGCGGUUGUGAAGGUGCUGCAUGGUUGUCGUCAGCUCGUGCCGUGAGGUGUCGGCUUAAGUGCCAUAACGAGCGCAACCCUUGCCGAUAGUUACUAACAGGUUAUGCUGAGGACUCUGUCGGGACUGCCAUCGUAAGAUGUGAGGAAGGUGGGGAUGACGUCAAAUCAGCACGGCCCUUACGUCCGGGGCUACACACGUGUUACAAUGGGGGGUACAGAGGGCUGCUACCACGCAAGUGGAUGCCAAUCCCAAAAACCUCUCUCAGUUCGGAUUGAAGUCUGCAACCCGACUUCAUGAAGCUGGAUUCGCUAGUAAUCGCGCAUCAGCCACGGCGCGGUGAAUACGUUCCCGGGCCUUGUACACACCGCCCGUCAAGCCAUGGGAGCCGGGGGUACCUGAAGUGCGUAACCGCAAGGAGCGCCCUAGGGUAAAACUGGUGACUGGGGCUAAG